Molecule: transfer RNA, 62 nt
Filed under: Pirkimerus japonicus
Lineage: Eukaryota; Metazoa; Arthropoda; Insecta; Hemiptera; Blissidae
Description: tRNA-Thr
Rfam family: tRNA
About the family: Transfer RNA (tRNA) molecules are approximately 80 nucleotides in length. Their secondary structure includes four short double-helical elements and three loops (D, anti-codon, and T loops).
Source: RNAcentral
GUUUUAAUAGUUUAAUAAAAAUAAUGAUUUUGUAAAUCAUAGAUAGGGAUUCCUUUAAAACA